Long non-coding RNA from Entelurus aequoreus (snake pipefish), 427 nucleotides. RefSeq lists it as uncharacterized. The record is from RefSeq and is a predicted model, not a curated record. NCBI's taxonomy places the organism in Eukaryota, Metazoa, Chordata, Actinopteri, Syngnathiformes, Syngnathidae. The transcript has 3 exons.
ACAACAACAAAAAGAUAUACACUGUGGUGGCCUCUGCCGUGUUCCCCGGGGGGGAGCAUGGCCAGAGACAGGAGCGGACCCAACAAAGCAACCAAGAGAGCCGACUCCACCCUCGGCCGCCCACUGACUCUCGGCCAGUGUCCAGUCUGCAUGGAUGCAGAAGGACGUCCAGAAGCAGUGUGCAGAGAAAUCCUGUAGCUCUGACAGAGUGACCAUCGAGUUCUUGGUCGCCUUGACUAGAUUAAGAUGAAUGCAGCAAUGUACAGAGACAUCCUGGAUGAAAACCAACGCUUCCCAUCCAACCUGAUGGAGCUUGAGAGGUGCAGCAAAGAGGAAUGGUCAAAAGAUACAGUGGGUGUGCCAAGCUUGUGGCAUUGUAUUCAAAAAGACUUGAGGCUGUAAUUGAGUAAUUAAGUAAUUAAUUUGC